AUACGUAGGGGGCGAGCGUUGUCCGGAAUGAUUGGGCGUAAAGGGCGCGUAGGCGGCCCGGUAAGUCUGGAGUGAAAGUCCUGUUUUUAAGAUGGGAAUUGCUUUGGAUACUGUCGGGCUUGAGUGCAGGAGAGGUAAGUGGAAUUCCCAGUGUAGCGGUGAAAUGCGUAGAGAUUGGGAGGAACACCAGUGGCGAAGGCGACUUACUGGACUGUAACUGACGCUGAGGCGCGAAAGUGUGGGGAGCAAACAGGAUUAGAUACCCUGGUAGUCCACACUGUAAACGAUGAAUGCUAGGUGUAGGGGGUAUCGACCCCUCCUGUGCCGCAGUCAACACAAUAAGCAUUCCGCCUGGGGAGUACGGCCGCAAGGUUGAAACUCAAAUGAAUUGGCGGGG
Molecule: ribosomal RNA, 397 nt
Filed under: uncultured bacterium
Lineage: Bacteria
Description: partial 16S ribosomal RNA
Rfam family: Bacterial small subunit ribosomal RNA
Source: RNAcentral